RNAcentral lists this long non-coding RNA (5487 nucleotides) under Sus scrofa (pig). Its description in RNAcentral is "lncRNA (ENSSSCG00025027038.1)". The record is from RNAcentral. Lineage: Eukaryota; Metazoa; Chordata; Mammalia; Artiodactyla; Suidae.
UUUUUUUUUUUUUUUUUUUUUUUUUUUGCUUUUUAGGGCCACACCCACGGCAUAUGGAGGUUCCCAGUCUAGGGGUCCAAUCAGAGCUACAGCUGCUGGCCUACACCACAGCUACAGCAAUGCCAGAUCGGAGCCACAUCUGUGACCUAUGCCACAGCUCAUGGCAACACCAGAUUCUUAACUCCCUGAGCAAGGCCAGGGACCAAACCCACAAUCUUGGGGUUCCUAGUCAGAAUGUUUCCGCUGUGCCACAACGGGAACUCCCCAGGAAUUUGUUUUAAUGAAACACUCACAUAAGUUUGUUAAGAAAUAUGCAACCCCAUCAAUUUAGCCUUGUCCUGAAUUCGUUGUGUUUUUUUGUUUGUUUUUGAUUUUUCUUUUUAGGGCCACUCCCACGGCAUAUGGAAGUUCCCAGGCUAGGGAUCGAAUCAGAGCUGCAGCUGCUGGUCUAUACCACAGCCACAGCAAUGCCAGAUCCAAGGGCAUCUGUAACCUACAUCAUAGUUUGUAGCAACGCUGGAUCCUCAGCCCAUUGAGAGAGGGCAGGGAUUGAACACGUAUCAUCGUGGAUACUGGUUGGGUUCUUAAUCUGCUGGGCCACAAUUCGAACUCCAAUUUAGCCUUGUCUUGGAGUGAAAAGUUGGAGGGUACCAAGGACUCACAGUAUGGGGACUAGUGGAGAAAAGUGAGACAGAGCCAGAUAGUCAUGUACACUGUAGUGCCUCUGGUAAAUUAAUGACAUGGUUCUGCAUUUCCUCAUGUGGAAGGAGGUCUGACAGCUCAUUCAUCCUACACACUUUCUUGGGCACCUGCUAUGUUCCAGUAUCUGUUCUAGGCAAAGGAUGCAGCAGUGAAGAAAGGAGACAAUGUCCUUGCCCCCAUGAAGCUUCCAUUCUAAUGGGAAAGAUUUUCACAAACAAAUAAAUACAUAUUAUCACAUAAUAACAUAUCCAUUAGGUUAAAAAAAAAAAAGCAAGGAGCAUGGGGAAGUCACUUCGGAAAACAGUUUGGCAGUUUCUUAUAAGGUUAAAUAGAUAUUUACCAAUAUACCUUUGGUCCGGCCAUCCCACUCCUGGGUAUUUACCCAAGAGAAAUGCAAAUUUAUAGUCACCCUAGAACCUGUGUGUGUCCUGUAAUUUCAUUUUAUGUGACAUUCUGGUAAAGGCAGAAUAUAGGGACAGAGAAUAGAUUAAUCAUUUCUGGGAACUAGGGUUGAAGGAAGGGGUUGAUUACAACAGGGCACAAGGGAAUUUGGGAGGGUAUUGAAACUGUCCUAAGUCUUUGUUGUGGUGAUGCCUACACAGCUGUAGAUGUUUGGUCAAGACUCCUAAUUCUACAUUAAAAACAGUGAAUUUUACUAUAAGUAGAUUAUAUACCUCAGUAAACCCUAUUAAGGAAAAAAAGCAAAGUACAAGUUCUGUAUACAGUAUAAUCCCAUUUUUGUAAGUAAUAAGAAUAAUAAAAGAUGUUAGAUUGUGCUUAGGGAAAAAAAAAUUAGUUGAAUAUCCAGUACGUUGAAUUGUUAACAGUAAGUUAUCUGGGUUGGGGAAAGGGGUGUUUCAUUUUCUAAAUUACACAUUUCUUUGAUGUUUGAAUAUUUUAUGGGGCAUGUGUUACUUUCAAAAUUACAGGGGACAACGGAUUGUAAUACAAAAGUUAACCUUCAGUGCUGGUCAGGCUACUGUGGCCAGGUGCAGAACUCAUUUGAGAUGCUCAGGCUACAUCACUGAUCCUAAUUCUGGCUCUGGAGGGCAAUUGUCCACUCAGGCUGUUGGUGACAACAGGCAAGGAAGGGCUGCUCCCCCCUCUAUGCUGCUACUGGGGGGAGUGGGCCCUUCAGUAGUUCUCACGGGACUGGUUUUUGUGGACAGAGGUGGAGUGAGGCUUAGGGCUGACAAGGCUUUUGUCUUCCUGCCAUAGAGAGAAGCUGUCUGUGGCCCAAGGUGGUUUAACACCUCUGAUAAUAAACCCAACAUUGAUUGACACUUGCUCUGUGCCAGACACUGGCCAAGGACUUACUGCUUAGUAUUAUUUUGUAAUUCCUUCAUUUAACAAACAUUUGUGGGAUACUUUUUUUUUUUUUUACAUUUUGCUUUUGUUUUUGGCCACACCUGCGGCAUGUGGAAGUUCCUGGGUCAGGUAUCAUACCCCUUGGCACAAUAGCGACCUCAGCCCCUGCAGUGAUAACACCGGAUCCUUAACCUGCUGACCCACAUGGGAAGCCACAAACACUUGUUAAACACCAACAAUAUUCUAGGCACUGGGGAUAUGAUAGCGAUCAAAGAGGAGGAAGAAAAAAGCCCUUAUGUUCCAUCCCCCUUAUAUUCUAAUAGGGAAAGGGGGAGACAAGCACAAAUAUGUGAGAACAGAUACAUAUCAGAGGAUUUUAUUUUUUUAUUUUUAUUUGUCUUUUUGCCAUUUCUUGGGCCACUCCCGCUGCAUAUGGAGGUUCCUAGGCUAGGGGUCAAAUCAGGGCUGUAGCUGCUGGCCUAUGCCAGAACCACGGCAAUGCAGGAUCCAAGCCGCAUCUGCGACUUACACCACAGCUCCCGGCAACACCGGAUCCUUAAUCCACUGAGCAAGGCCAGGGAUUGAACCCGCAAACUCAUGGUUCCUAGUCGGAUUCGUUAACCACUGAGCCAUGACGGGAACUCCUGUCAGAGGAUUUUUAGAUGCUAAGAGAAAACUGAACAGAGUGAGGGUGCAAGAGGGAGGGAUUGGGGCAUACUGCUUUAGGUGCAGUGGUCCAAAAGGGUCUUUCCAAUUUGGGGGCCAUCUGACCCAAGGGGAGGAGGGGCCUGCCAGGGCCAGGGCUCUGAGGCUGAGUGUGUGAGCAGAGCCAGAGGGAGGUCAUGGUCCUGCAGCAGAGUGUGCGGGGGGGACACCUGCAAAGGAGCAAGAGGCCACAUGACCCAGGGCCCCCACAGGUGGCAACAAAGUGUUUGGCUUUAACUUUGAAGGAGAUGGGAAUCAUGGAAGGGUUUAGAGCAGAGGAGUGACAUAGGUUUGAUUAGGAUCCCUCUGACUGCUCUGCAGGAAAGAGGACACAGUGGGAGUGGGGCAGGAGUGAGAUCAUCAGAGAGACAAGUGGCUUAGGCUUGGGGUGGCACAUUCUGGAUAUUUUCAUUUCACCCUUCACUUUUCCCAUCUGCAAAAUGGAACAAUAAUAGUAUCUCCCUCACGGGAAAAUUAAACAAUUCCAUGGUGUAAACUAUCUGGCCCUGUGCCUGGUGCAUGGGAAAUGCUCAAUAAAUAUGUCUGUGCUUAUUAUUAUAGUUAUUAUUAUUAUUAUUGUUAUUGCUACUACUAUUGUUGUUGUUGUUGUUACCAACCUCCUUAUGAUGCCAGGAUAAUUAUGCACGCAUGAUGGAUGAGAAGAGUGAGGCUCAUAGGGUUGAGGCUGCUUCUUCAAGAGCAGGUGGCUGGUAAGUAGUGGAACUAUACUGUUCCAGGACCCUGCAGAACAUUUAUGGGGAGGCACACUUGGCCCGUGUGGAGACGGGAAGCCCAGAAUAAAGGGCAGAGGGUGUCUAAGCAAGUGGGAACCCUCUAACCUCAUCUUAUUUCAGAAGGCAGCAGUGGUCAAGCUUCAGAUCCUCCCUGGCACUUCCAAGCUGUGUGACCUUAGGCAAGUCAGCUCACCUCUCUGAGCCUCAGCUGUCUCAUUUGUAAGAUGAGGACUGUGAUAGGACCUACCCCAUGAGAUAGUUGUGACAAUUAGACACCUGGCAGAAAAUGAGCUGCCUAAACACAUUCAGAAAGCAGCCCCUCCUGAUGCUACAGUAAAGAGGGGGUAAUUGAGUAUAUAUGGUUGAUGGAAUGUCUUGUUGGUAGCACCCACCACACAGCUCUGUUAGGGAGGAGAAAGCCGUACUUCUGUUGGGAUCUUGAGAUGUGGCUGAUUAGAUUAUAUUGAACAGGCUCAUUAGGGUGCACUUGCUAUGGGAACAGUGACCUCUUCAUCAAACCACAAACACAGAACAUUGCAAAGGUGUUUUUUGAGUUUGAGUUAUUGUAUGAUUAACAUGAAGUAAAGUCUGCUUGUUGGAAAGUCACUUUAAGGGUCUAUUCUUUUUUUUUUUUUUAAUGUGAGGGAAUAUUUGCCUAGGUAUUUUUGGUGGAAUGUAAAGAAGGGGCUUCUCUGUUCAGUAAGCGUUGUGAAAUGCUGGUAGAAAAUCCCCAUAACACAACUUGCUAACAUUUACAGAAGCUGUUGUGAUUAAGUGGGAACCAAGCUACAGAAAAAUCUACAACAAGAAGUCAGCAAAGUAAGAUCAAGAGACUAUAAAGUAAACAAUAUAUAGAGAAUGAAAAGUAAUUUAUUUCCUUGGGGAAGCGAUCUGUACCGACAGCAGCAACAGAGUGACUCUGUAGAUGUACUCCAUUUCCAUCCGCGGGAGAUGAUUGCAGUCAGCACAUUUGAAAAUUGAGAAAUUGUGUACGCAAUUUGAAAAACCAACUGAUUAUAACUCACCAGUGUGCUAAGAGGUCAGUGGCCCAUUUCAAAAAGGAAAAACUGAGACUCAAGUGGGAGAGAAGAGUUGCUUGCCUCAUCCUUGCUGAGACACCAUAACCCAGAUGACCAGGAGAGCCCAGUGAGCCUGUCACUGGGCCAUGUGAAGACAAGGUGAUGACUCAUCUCUCACAUGUGGCUUUUUUUUGGCCUCCGAGUUGUUGCCUGAGUAAGGACUGUGCUCUUUCCCAGGGUUGCUUUCAAAUAAAACGACCUGUUGCAGAAAGCAAGAGCUGCCUACCCCCACCCCCACCCCCCCAGGCAGGAACCCAGCCAGCAGGGAGCUGACACACCUGUGCUAGGGAGCAGGCAAAGUGUCCUCCAGGCUGGGAACUUAAAGUGCCUGACAGUUUGGAAGGAACUGGUAUGGGUAUGGUCCCUGCAGCAUGGGGUCCUUUGUCUAACAUGCUAGGACCGGGAUGUCACUUCUCCAAGAGUAGUAUCACACAGCUGGUGUGGCUCAAUCAGUUGCCUUCUCUCCCAUCUAGCCCCUGAUUUAGGCCACUGGUGAAAAGACAUUUGUCUUCCUUACAAACCUCUGGACGCUUGGGUCUGGCCCGGAGCACAGAAAGCAGAAAGGGUGAGAUGUGCUGGCAGAAUUGCCAGAAGAGUUGGCAUCUCCCCUCCCAGAGCACAGCCUGGCUCAGGGCCACCCGAGAAGGCCGUUUCUUUUAUGAGCAUUGAAUUCACACUUGCACAGCCCUGGAGAGGAAAAGUUACAGAAUCCACCGUGUGAACACCCUCUUCCCUUAAAGAUAAUUUUGAGUUGGCUGUUAUGAGUGAGGCCGUUCAGAUUCUAAGAGCGUGUGUGUGUGUGUGUGUGUGUGUGUAUGUGUGUCCAUCCAGAGGAAACAGAAUUUAGUUGCAUGUGAUAUAUUUCACCACCUGCUGUGACCAUAGCCUGCAGCAUAUAAACUUAGUAGAGGCUGAAAAUUUAUGACUAUAGUCACUUGUCUUUGGUCAAGUGUCAGUGU